This 411-nucleotide ribosomal RNA is filed under the name uncultured Planctomycetaceae bacterium. Its description in RNAcentral is "bacterial SSU rRNA". It matches the Rfam family "Bacterial small subunit ribosomal RNA", at positions 506 to 916 of the family's 1533-position model. The record is from RNAcentral. Lineage: Bacteria; Pseudomonadati; Planctomycetota; Planctomycetia; Planctomycetales; Planctomycetaceae.
UGUCAGCAGCCGCGGUAAGACGAACCGUGCGAACGUUGUUCGGAAUCACUGGGCUUAAAGGGUGCGUAGGCGGAAUGGCAAGUCGGAGGUGAAAGCCCCCAGCUUAACUGGGGAAGUGCCCUCGAUACUGCUGUUCUCGAGAGAGGUAGGGGCGUGUGGAACUUCCGGUGGAGCGGUGAAAUGCGUAGAUAUCGGAAGGAACGCCGGUGGCGAAAGCGAUGCGCUGGACCUUUUCUGACGCUGAGGCACGAAAGCUAGGGGAGCGAACGGGAUUAGAUACCCCGGUAGUCCUAGCCCUAAACGAUGGGUACUGGGUUGCGGGUCAGACAUGGACUCGCAGCCGAAGCAAAAGUGGUAAGUACCCCGCCUGGGGAGUAUGGUCGCAAGGCUGAAACUCAAAGGAAUUGGCGG